UGCAUUUUAGUUAAAAAAUAUCAUGUUUCCAUAUAUGUGUUUCAUUUUUUUUCCAGCGGGGCAAGGACUUUUUUUUUCAUUAAUUGAAGCGGGGCAAGAACUUUUUUUAUAAUAAAUAUUGGCGGGGCAUACAGUUUUUUUUUUUUUUAAUAUUUGCUGUACACCGGCCCCACCCUCAGAUAAAUAUUGCACAGUCCCUUAAUAGAUGACGUCACCAUUAACGCGUCAUGAACCCCCUAUGAAAUUUACCAACCCCUACGGUCUCAUAGGGGGUCACCACGUGACGGCGUUAAACCAAUCACAACGUGAUAAUUUAUCCGCGGUGCGAU
Molecule: long non-coding RNA, 329 nt
Filed under: Mytilus galloprovincialis (Mediterranean mussel)
Lineage: Eukaryota; Metazoa; Mollusca; Bivalvia; Mytilida; Mytilidae
Source: RNAcentral